Molecule: RNA transcript, 12333 nt
Organism: Passer domesticus (house sparrow)
Lineage: Eukaryota; Metazoa; Chordata; Aves; Passeriformes; Passeridae
Gene: RBM15
Gene name: RNA binding motif protein 15
Exons: 4
Source: RefSeq, a predicted model, not a curated record
UCGCGAGAUUUUGAGAGCAAGUCCCAAGAGCUCGUCCUCGAGAGAGCUCCAAACUGAACAGACCAGAUUUAAAGCACUCAGUGGAAAUGGAAAACCAUACUUUAAUAACAGACUGGUGUCACCUCCUCUUUUGAGUCCUUGAAAUUCCGUGUGGGCCUCAGGCCAGGGGCCCUUUGGCCCGCGGGAUCCCUUCCCUCGGGAGCCGCAGUGGUUUCCCCGUUGAGUCGCGUGGCUCAAGGUCGACGUUUUUCAGGUGAGCAGCAGCUGCUCUCGGGUACACAGCAGAACACUGAAUUCCUUUUUGGAAAGGGAUUCCUUUUUCAUCCAGCCUCCCCAGGUGCAUGCACUGAAAUUGGGCUUUUUACAGGUGUAUUUCCCUGAUUUCCCAGUGUAUCCCAUAUGUGCACUUUGGGUUUGUAGCAGUGACCAGGUUGUAGCAGUGACUAGGUGAAGAGCUGAGGACUUUGUUGCAAACCAGGAAUGUCUUGUGCUCACUCUGGUGUGCAGGAAACAAGGAGGUGCUUUAAGGAGAACUUGAGUUAUAUUGUGGGGUUUUGGUUUUACUGCCUUUUUUUGUUUUGUUUUGUUUUGUUUUGCAAGAGUUGCAGGUUCAGUGGGGUCUGGUUCCACAAUGCAAACUGAGCAAGUAAGUGCUUCUCUCCAGAGAUGCUUUUCAUUCUGUGAUAAUUUAAUUACAUAAAAGUUCUCAUUAACAUUUUACCUCUUUGUUAAUAGCAAGGAACUGCUGUCUGCUAGGGACUCUUCAGGUACAGUGUGCAGUGGGCAUUACGUGAGGUUUAUCAUGGGCACCUGGAGUAAAGUGGUUGUAGCAUCCUGGAGAAAUAUUAAAAAUACUCCGAGAUGCUGAGGUGUGAGCUAUUGUUCUUGUGAUUCAAGGAUGAAACAGUUUGCAGGUUGUUUUUUGGGAGGUUUUUUUCCAAAGAGCAUAGUUAUUUUUUUCUUAUUUUUCUCAAAUCAUUGGGCACUUUUCUCCAGCUGUCUUAGCCACCUUUGGUAAUUCAGGCAUUUAGAAGGGGAGAAGGGAUCUCAAUCCCUGAUGUGAUCUAAUUCCGUGAUACUCAGUUUAACAACCAAAAGGAUGUAGCAGCAGCUUCUAAACUGAAGUGUAAAUCUCACUGUAUCUCUUUACAGGCCCUAAAAUUGUAAUCUUGCACUUAAACCCAGAAUGUAAUCUUGCACUUAGCCAUGUUUUCAGGGAUUUGGGCAACGGAGAAGCGACGCUGCCUCGCUCGGUCCAUGCUCCAGUAGAUUCCUUGGGUAAUUAAUACAGGCAUGAGUUGAUUUCUGUUAAAACUUGCAUGGCAAAAAUCAAAUUCAAAGUGUGGAAUAGGAUGUGGUAGGAGACGAAGGAGGAAAUGUUUUGAAUGUAUUUUAUGGGUGUAACUGAACUUGCUUGAGUUUCUGUCACAAAAAUAGGAAUUUUUGUUACUGCACCACUUGUCAGAGAGGGCUUUGAUUCCUUUGUCUGCCCAGAAUGAGUGGACCCAGCAUCCCAAACAUCGUGGUGAACUGAGAAUUCCAAUGUGGCAGCAUCUCUUAAACACAGAUUUUGUUUUUUAUAGCUACUUUUCUUUCUAAAUGAAAAGGUGAAAGUCUCAUUUAAUGCUCUUAAAUUUGAGAGUAAAAUCCAGGAUUUCUGGGUUGUCCUUCAGUGUGAAUGUAAGAGAUGGCAGAAUUCAGCUGUUCAGCUUACUAUUAACAAUGAGAAUUUUUGGGAAUGACACCAGAAAUGCAGAUCACUGUGUUUAAGAUGAUACAGCGUGUUUACCACUUAUUGCAAAGAAUGUUUUAAUUGGAGCAGGUGCCUGUUGUGUGUCAGCAGGUGAUCAAUGCUGCAAGUGCUGCUUGUAUUCAGAGGGAGUUUUCUGGGAGAUUUCUGUCAUCUGACAGAAAUCACUUGCAAGAGUUUUCUAGGAAAGAGACUUGAACAGCUGGGAAUCUAAAUCUGCCCAAAACCGGGGAGAAAAAAGCACUAAAGUUUGUGUUGGACACUGAGAGCAGCAUUUGUUCUGCUGAUCCGCAGCAGGCACCUGCUUAAAAACCCAUAAAACUUGGAGUCAGCAUAGCUUGUCAAAGCCAGCUUGCUUUGGGAAGCCUUUUGGGAAGAGCAUGCUAGGUGCACUUCCGUUUUUCUUUGGGAAGUCACGGUGGUUCCACCUGCCACUGGCUGUGAAAUUGUGCUGUGCUGGAGGGCGAGAAGGAGCAGGCGAGGCUGUGUUCGACUCCAAGUUUUUCUGGUUCCUUAUUUAAUGGAGCACCUGCUUCUUUGAAUCUGGUUCAUUUGUGGUUGCUGCUCUGUUUUGUAAGCAAGGAUUUUAAACACCCUUUGAGGGUUCUUGUGGCAAAACUUUGAAAGGUUUUUCUUGCCGGCGCUGAAUUCCUGUGCUGCCAUCCCGGCUGGGCGGGCUGUGCUUUCCUCCUUGGUCUGAGGUGUUUCCCAUUGGAGUAACUGUCCACUGAGGUUGGCUUAGCCAGGGCUGAAGGUUUAGAAGCCUGUGGGUGAUACCACUGUGUGUAGAGCAAACCAGAUGUAGCAGUUGUUGGCUCUCUCCUCGUGUCUGGCAUUAAGUUGCUCUGGCGAGAGCUCAGUAUUCCCUCCCGACCUUGUGUGCAGCUGAUGUUCUUCUAUUUCACUAGUGUGUUGAAUUAGCCUGGAAAAAGGAUGUCCUUUUCCUGAAUCAUUUCAUCCUUGUGCUUUAUGCUUUGGGGAAAGAACCUCAAAUGACUCGUAGUUUUGUUUGAGAUUUUAGUUUGUUGUUUAUUUCUUUCGAUUGGAAACUUUGCGCAACUUCCUUGGCCCCUGGCCAGUGGCUUUGUUUGCCACGGGAACGCUGAGGUUAUCCUCAAUCCAGAGGUUUUAGGGGCACAAAUACCAACACAUCCUUGUCAGCCUCCCAGAGAGAGAAGGGCAUUAUUGCCAGGCAGACAAACCUUGCCCUCUCUCUCUUUUGUUUCCUGCAAGGAUGUUAAAGAUGGACAAUUUCAGGGACAAUUUCUUGGCCUCUGUGGAGAGCCGAGUCUUUCCAAGAACGAGUUUUAAUUUCUUAUGUGGGUUUGGGAACCCUCUGGUUGAUGGUAACUGAGGUGAAAGGCCUGAGGUAUUAAUGGGGAGGGGGAUUGAAUCAAAAUUGUGAAGACAAGUUCAAAAACUCUGAGGACUCAGGGAAAAAUGCCUUGGAAAAAGGUAGUUCCUGGCUCUAAGCAAAACAGUGUUGAGGGCAGUGCUCCUGGGGAGUGCUGUGUGCCCAGAGGGGAAGAAAUGGUUGCCAUGUGGCUCUAGAGCUUUUGGGGUUCUUUCCCCUUUGCCCCCCUGUUUAUUUCUUUAUAGCACUGAAGGACAGAUAUUCCAAUGAUUGGUAGACUGAACGAUGAGGUGAUUUUUGCAUCAGGCUUAAAGCAGACCGGGUGGUGCAGAGAAUGGUUCAUUGAAUAUUCAUCUUCCCGCAGUUCUAAUUGUGUGAAAACGAUGGCUAGGAGAUAUGACUUGAAUAGUAACAAUUUUAAAUUUUAUUGGGUGUGUCUUUGAUUUGACCUUUUAAUAUGGGCAUUGUCUGCUGUUAGAACUGCACAGCAGAAUGAGAGCAAAAGAGCUGUGUAACACUACACUUCAUGGUUUCGUUGAUAAGUUGCCUUCAGGAAAUACCCAGUGAGGAAAGUCAACCAAAUUAGCAAGAAUUAGGUUGGUUUUUCUCCUGGUUAAUGAUUUUGAUGUGCCCCAACAAAUGUUACUGCAAGUUGAGUAAUCAUCCGUACUGUAAGCCUAGUUUUAUCCUGGUCCAAAAAGAAGCCCUGCACUACUUGUUUUGCAUCUAUCCCUAGAAGGCAACUUCAUUCCGAGGUUUCAUGCCCAUGGGUGGUAUUGGUGCUUUUUGAAGUCCAAGCAGAAUAUUCAGAAAGGCCUCGUAGCUCUUUAUGUUCAUCUGUAUAAUGUAGGGAGGGGGAAAAACCCAAAUCUGGUGUACACAUUUGUAUUGAAAUAACGUUUUUUUUCCUCCUGCAAGCAAAUCUGGUGGACUGCAGAAGACAACCGCAUGGGAUACCAAGCUCUAAUGGACCUUUGGGAAGAGAAGCUGUGGCUUAUGUGGAAUUUACAUGGGCCUCCUGGUGGAAGAAAGCUUAUCUGUUUAGUAUUUGUGCAUUUUACUAAAAUGGCAGCUUUAAAAAAAAAAAAAAAGUUGUGUAUCUGCUAUUGUGAUGCCAAUGCCCGUGUUUUAAGUGGAAAAAAAAAUGACCUCUUUGCUUUGUGCUGUGUACACAAGAUUGCUGGAAAAGUAAAGGAAUACCCUUUUUAUGGCUCACACAGCUUAAAAGUAGCUGUCACUCAAACAUGCGCUCACAGUUGAGCUGAUUUUGUUUCAUUCUAAAUAAAUUGUUUCUUUUGAGGAAAAUGGUUUUUCUGCCUGGAAGUGAAUUGACGACAAACGUUUGGCCCCUGUGUUGGCAGCGGAGGGGUUCCUGCUGCUGCUGCCCAAUUGAGCUGAUAGUUGUGGGUCUUGAGCAAGAAGCAGGGAGAGCACCGACACUUUUGCGUUGAUCGACCUGUGGUACCAGUCAGAAGAAUUUGUGUCUGAUGGCCUUGCUGUGGCCCCCGUGUUUGCAGUGAAAAAGGGGUCACUUGCUGCGUUUCUCCUCAGCGGGACGGGGCAGCGGUGCUGCUGCUGGCACACAAGAAGCAGGGAAGCACCACCCUGCGCCUCGGAACGGUGGCCAAGUCUGGGGCUUCGCUGGUUGGAAGAGCUGGAGUUCCUGAAUUUUAAGUUUCUGAUUUAUUUUGUUCACCCAACAUGUUUGCCUUUAGUUUUGAUUCUUGGUUUUUUUUUUAAUUUUGAAGAAAAAAAAGUUUUGAAAUUGCUUUGAAUCUUGCACGUAAAACCUUUGCACCAAAAUUGCCAAAAGAAAAAGAGAAAUGAGUCCUUAAAAGUGUUUAAAUGCUGUUAAUAAAGCCUUUCCUGCCGUACGCGAGGCGCUCCUCCAUCUCCAGGGGCUUUUCAGCAGUUGUGGGUUUAGUGCUGAAUGGAUGAAGAGUUCCUGAGAGCUGGAGGCGGUAAUUUAAACCUUUGCGUGGUGUCUCAGUGCCUUAUUUUGACCGGUUUUGAAGCCAGUGGUUCCAUACGCCUCGGAUGUGCAUGUGCCCUGCUCGCGUCCCGGCCCCGCCGCGCGCUCCCGGUGUAGUGCAGACGGGGAGAGGAACGGCCCGAAAACGUUGUGUGCUGUAGUUCUCCUGUGCCGGGGGCUCCUGAGCUUUGGAAAGCUGUUCCCGUGCAGGAGCACAACUCCGUGUUUGCUGCAGGACGUCGAGAGGAAGCUGCCGCUGCUGCGUCGUCGGCUUCAGGAGCUCAUCCUGCCCUGGUAGAAUUGCUGUGAGGAGCCAUGAGGACACCUUGAACGCUUGCCCUGUUUGCCUUGACACACUUUAACCUCCGUGGAUAACCCCCUGCAGCCGGGCAGGAGCUGUGCUAGGCUGCAGAUGCCUCUCAGCCGACGGAUGCUGUGCUUGUGCUCUGCAAGGUGUCUGCUCCCGGGGCAAAGCGCUGUGUAAAUCCCUAAAACAGCGCCAGGUGUGAGCAGAAAGUGUUUGACCACCAUCCUGGGCCUGCUCAGUGGAAAAACAAAGGUUUGAAGAUUCUUCACCCCCCUCCCAGCCCGCUGGCAGGAUGGUGCAGGGCUCCUGGGAGGAGUUUCUCGUUGUGGGCAUCGGUUUCCUCAACAAUAUUGGAUGAACCAGAGGUCCUGUGUGCUGUGGCAGUAACUGUGCCUGGGAUGUGGAAUGGCCCCAGUGCAGCGCCCACCCCAGAGAGAGGAGCUCCUGGAGCAGCUGAUCCUCGUGGAAGGAUCACCCUGAUCCCUGUCCCUGCUUCCACCCCUCCCCAGGGCCAGCUGUUUGUGUGAGCAGGAUGAGCUGAAAUCUCUGCUGUGCUCUGGCACCGGCAGCUCCCUGGCUGCUCAUCCCACGAGGUGAGUGAGUCAGCUCUGCUCUGGGAAGGACAGAGCUGAGGAUUCAGUCUGAGAGGCACAAAAACCCAGCUCAGGAGCAGAGGCACCGUGGGCUGCAUUUCCCCAUACACUGCACACUGUGCAUUUCUCAGCUGGCUUUAAUCAGGACAAAUAUCCAGGUAUCCAAACUGAACCUGACAUCCAGCAGCUCCAGUUUUCAGUGUUGCUGCUGUGGAUCCUUCCCAGUACAGGCAAUGGCUUUCCCACAUAGAUGUGAUCAAAUCCCAGUCUUUGAAACUUCAGCUCUUGUUCAAAUUGGCUUUUUUUAGCUUCCAUUUUUGGGCUGCAGGCUCGAAGAAGAAGGAGAUGGGUGAGAUGAGAGCACAGGCUCCAGCAAAGAGGAAGGAGCAGGCGUAGGUCUGGGUGUAGUCAUAGAGCCACCCUGCAGGAGAGAAGGUUGUUAUUAAAGCUGGGGGAUUUUUCUCAGUGAAAAAAAUAAUUCAGGGAGGUGGGUGGGAGGCAAAGGAUGUGUGUUCUCAUCUAAGAAUUGCUCAGAUAUUUCCCUUAAAUUAUUUUAACUCUUCCUGGGCAGCAUUUCCUGUAAGGAAAUGACAUGCAGGUCAUUUUUCCCAGAGCCAGCUUUGAUCCUUGUAGUGGACAUGGUGUUUCAUUUGAUUGAAUUUAAUCCCUGAAUUCUGUUUUUUUCCUGUUUAAGUAAGUGGGCCAAAAGUGGCUGACAGAAGAUCCCGUUGGAUUGAAGGGAUGACUUGCACGUGUUGGUAUUCGCAACAUCUGGGCUGCAAACCCCCUGUUCUCCAGCCUUGUCUUGUGAGCAGACCCAGUUUCAUGUCCUUUGUCUGACAGGAGAGACCCCAGGCCAGGAGCUGGAAGUGAACUUGAUAAAAGUAGCUCUGGGAGGACUUGAAAGGAAAAGCUGAAUUCCACUGAGCCUCAGGAAUGUCUGGAGGAUUCAGGUCGCCUUUUAAAGUGACCUCCAAGUGUUGGCUUUGGUCCUGGCAAAUCAUCUGGGGUCUGGGCAGUCCUUUGAAAGGUGGAGAGUUCCCCUCUUUGAAUCUGAAAUCUGCAAAGUGGUGGGAGAUGCUGCUGCUCAUAAAAACCCUAAUGCAGUCCCAAAUGUGGGGUGGGGUGGGUGUGGGGCAGCAGCUGGGCCAGAUCUGCUGCUGGUGUGAAAUGCAAUUCCUUGGAGACAUCCAUGGAAUCCAGACAUCCAGGGGCUUCCAUGAGUUACACAAACAGCAGAUCUGGCCCAAACCUGGGUUUCUUAAAGCCAGGAAGGGACAGGACACAGUCCCUGAGGUUUGGACACGUGGAAAGGGAGGGUGCCAGUGAAGUUUGGGAUCUGCCUGGAGCAGAGGCACUGACAUUUCCCCUCUGUGGAUUUCCACAGGAGGGUUUAUAAGGCACAGGAACAGCUGCUUUUGCUUUUUGAGUUUCAGUUUCUGUCGGCUCACUGCUGUCUCGGGGGGAGUCCCUGUGUUUGCUCCUCAGGGAUGUCCUGUGAGCCACGUGCUGGGGAGCUGCAGCUGGAGAGGAGGAUCCAUCUCCUGAGGGAUCCAUCCCCUGGUGAGAUCCAUCCCCUGCUGGGGUCCAUCCCCUGCUGGGCACCAUCCCCUGCUGGGAUCCAAACCCUGGUAGGAUCCAUCCCAUGGUAGGAUCCAUCCCCUGCUGGGAUCCAUCCCAUGGUAGGAUCCAUCCCCUGCUGGGCACCAUCCCCUGGUGAGAUCCAUCCCCUGCUGGGAUCCAUCCCCUGGUAGGAUCCAUCCCCUGGUGAGAUCCAUCCCCUGCUGGGAUCCAUCCCCUGCUGGGAUCCAUCCCAUGGUAGGAUCCAUCCCCUGCUGGGAUCCAUCCCAUGGUAGGAUCCAUCCCCUGCUGGGAUCUAUCCCCUGGUAGGAUCCAUCCCCUGCUGGGAUCCAUCCCCUGCUGGGAUCCAUCCCCUGGUAGGAUCCAUCCCAUGGUAGGAUCCAUCCCCUGCUGGGAUCUAUCCCCUGGUAGGAUCCAUCCCCUGCUGGGGUCCAUCCCCUGGUGCUGCACCUGGGGUCUCUCCCAUGACCCUGAGGUUCAUUCCCAGGGCUGGGAUCUCUUUCUGCUGCCUGGAAGUCUCUGGGAUUUGGAGAGGGGAUGCUGUCGUAGUUAUUUGUGAGAGGAACAGGACAGAGUGCCCCAGUAGAGCUCUGAUUUAUUGCAAUUCUUAAAAUAUCCUUCAGGAUAUUGCUUAAUUCUUUUUUUUUUUAAUUGUCCUGGGUUUUUUUGGUGCUGAAUGGGAUUUAGGGGAAGUGGGAUUUACCAGCAUUGCCUCACUGGCAGCACAGCCACCAACUUCCAACCUUUUGAAGCAGCUCCAGUGUCUGCCCCACAUUCAUUUCCAAAACAAAACAAUAAUCAUCCUGCUGCACAAAGCUGAACUAGGAGCUUGUGGUGUUCAAACCCCAGCAAAGCAGCAGUUUUGGGAGGAAUGCUGGUAAAUCCCAGCAAUGUAAUCCAAACUAGACAUUCCCAGCACUGCUGGUGCUACCAGCUGGGUCAGGUUGUUUAAAUGGUACUGCUAAUCUUUAAUCAGAAGUUUUAUUUAUUCCUGAUGCCCUGAGGAGCAAAAAUUCAGUGGGAAGGUGAAGGUAAAAUUUAGGAAACAUCUAAAUACGUGUGCCAGCAGAGCUUUUGGGUAACUCCAUCCUCUCCCUUUUGACCACCCAAAUUUCUUGGGACUGGAGUUUGUGCUCUGGGGGCUGGAAUCUCUUCUGGAAUUUGCUUUACACGCUUUGGUUCAGCUCUGUUGCAUUUUGAGUCAGUGAUUUGUACUGCUUGUGGAAAUUAACCGUGCCCUUCUCUCCUCAGCUUGCUCCUGGCUGCCAAAAUAAUGUUUAUUUUGCUGUGGGCUGGGUUUUUUCAGCGUGGCAGCAUCCAGAGGUGCCAGUGGAUGGGGAGCUCUGAAGGAGACUCCAAACUUUCCUUUGGGUGCUGCCAGCUGCCCCUGGAUUUUCAGGGCUUUCAGCUGAACAGAUCUGCAGGUAGGUCACCUUUUCCUUGCAUUAGGCUUUGGUCUAAUAUGCAAAUUAGGCAGUUUUAAGCUUUGCAGUUGUCAUUAUCCAUCAUCAUUAUUUCCACUGCAUAAAAGCACUUGAGUUUGAUGAAAUUGUAAUUCUUAACUUAAGGUUUUUGGGAGGUGAAAGCACCAAAUCCCAGGGUCUCACAGAGUAUUUAAAUCCUGCAUUCUGCAAGGAGCAGAUGGUUUUGGACACUUCAUCAGGAGUUUCUGGUCUCCCUCAGUUUUCACACUUAAAACUGCAUUGCAAGAGAAAAUUGCAGAAUUUAUCUUGGAUCCCAGGGCUGGAUCCUGAGCUCUGGAUUGUUUCCAUCUUGCUCUGCCUGUAACGAGAUGGAUCAGGAAGUGUUUUGCUUCUUGGCUCUAUUUGGCCUUUAUUUAUCCCACCUGAUUUCUGUGGAAAGCUUUUUGCAGGAAACCUGCUUGCUUUACAAACCCACUGCAGAAAGCAAAAAGCUUCCCAUUAGUGCAAAUAUAUUGCAGGUGGAUGGAAAUUUAACUGCAGUGUGAGUGUGGAUAAGAGACUGCUGCUGCACGUUCCUGUGCCAGGGGAUGCAGGGGGACUGAGGCAUUGCCCUGUGCUCAGUGUACACCUUGUGCCAGCAGCAGGGAGCUGCAGUCCAGGCUGUGCAUCACCCUGACCCUGGGAAGCUCCUUCUCAAUGAAAUGUUUUGGCUCCUUGAAAUUGCAUCCACAGACAGAGCAGAACCAGCCCAGGGAUAUUGAUUGGGAAUAUAAAUUUUUUUCCGGUGCUGGAGGAACAGCAGCGUUGCUGAAUCUUUGCAUGGAGCUGGAAUUUACAGAGCCCUUGGCAGCUUCCAGCCAGGUGCCUCUGCAGGCUGGGGGCAGCUGAUUUGGAGGGCAGGGAACAAAAAAAAUGAUGGUUUGGGUUUGAAAAGACCCUAAAGCUGCUCGCAUUCCACCCCCUGCCAUGGGCAGGGACACCUUCACUGUCCCAGGCUGCUCCAAGCCCUGUCCAGCCUGGCCUUGGGCACUGCCAGGGAUCCAGGGGCAGCCACAGCUGCUCUGGGCACCCUGUGCCAGGGCCUGCCCACCCUCACAGGGAACAAUUCCUUUCCAAUAUCCCAUAUCCCUGUGGCAGUGGGAAGCCCUUCCCUCCUGGUCCCGUUCCUCUUCCCCUUUCCCAAGUCCCUGUUGUUCUCUCCUGGAUCCCCUUCAGGCUCUGAGCUCUCCCUGGAGCUUCUCCUCUCCAGGUGAGCCCCCCCAGCUCUCCCAGCCUGUCCCCACAGCAGAGGGGCUCCACCCCUGGAGCAUCUCCAUGGCCUCCUUGGACUCUCUGCAGCAGCUCCAAAUCCUCCUGCUGCUGUUCCCCAGGGCUGGGGCAGCUCUGCAGGUGGGGUCUCACCUGAGUGGGGCAGAAUCCCCCCUCCCCUGCCCAGGCUGGGGGCUCAGCCGAGGAGCACUUGGCUUGUUGGGCUGCAGGGAAGGAAGAGCUCUGUCCUGGCCAAGAACAAGUCCCCUGCUCCUUGGCAGAGGCUGGACACUCAUUUCUAAGCACUUGAAAUCUCCCAAAUCCUCACAGCUGCCUUGGUUUCCUGGCAGAGGGAGAAGAGCAAAUGCUUUUCAUGCUCCUUAUCUCUGGGCCCAGAGCUCUGGUGGCUGGGCUGUGUAAUCUCUGUCAAAACAAGAGAUUACUGAGGCUUCUCCUGAUGUUUCAGUGCCUCUGCCUGGUGGGAAUCUUGCUGAGUCUGUCCUUGCUUUCCCUUCCUCUCCAGUCCAAGUUCAGUGUUAUUUUAACACCACUGGGAGUAAAAUCCAUGGAAAUGUGCCUGUUACCCUGCUUUGGUCAGGGCUGGACUCUGCACCUGGGGCUUCACUGCAUUUUCCAGAUAUUCCAGGCAGCAUUUUCCAAGCUGCUGGUUGGAUUUUGCAAAUUCCCAAGCAAAAUGUUGCCUGUCUAUAAAAAUACAUUUCUGAAAUAGGUUUGGGUUUUUUUUCCCUCUCUGUUUGAACAGAAAACCCAUCCUGGGAUGGAUCCCUGUAGGAGAGUGAACCAGCAGCAUGGUUUGUCUCUGGAUUUCUGGGGUGGCUGUGGGUUUUAUAUAACAUCACUCACCUGCUAAAGGGGGUCCUCCCAUGGCUGCUAUCCCUGCAAAGAAUGCAGCAAAGCCCAGGUAGCUGUGGAGCUUCUGCACACCCACCAGAUCCACCUGUUUGGAAACCAAAAUGGGUAAUUAGUGAUUGGGUUCAUAGGAAUGCAUAUGCACAACAGAUUAAUAUAUUUAUUUUUUUUAAAGCACAGGAGAUGAUUUGAUUCUUUUUUUUUUCUGGGGAAUUUCCUCUCCAGCUGCAGCUUUGGAAGGACUUUGCCCCUGGAGGUCUGACCCAGCCUGGAACCCGUUUGCCUCCCUGAGGCAGGAGUGGGAAUGGCUGCGAUGGGAGAUGCUUCUCUGCCUUGCAGCUGCCCAGACUGGAGGAGGGAGUUUGGAACUCUGAAUGCCUUCCAGAGAGAAAUGCCCAAUUAUAAUGGUGCCUCCCUCCCUGGAUCAGAGAGUCCUGGGUAUUCAGAGAUAUCCUGGGAGAAGGGUUUGGGUUGGAAGGGACCUCACAGCCCAUCCAUCCCACCCCUGCCAUGGCAGGGACACCUUCACUGUCCCAGGCUGCUCCCAGCCCUGUCCAGCCUGGCCUUGGGCACUGCCAGGGAUCCAGGGGCAGCCCCAGCUGCUCUGGGCACCCUGUGCCAGGGCCUGCCCACCCUCACAGGGAACAAUUCCUUGCCAACGUCCCAUCUAUCCCUGCCCUCUGGCAGUGGGAGCCAUUCCCUGUGUCCUGUCCCUCCACCCCUUGUCCCCAGUCCCUCUCCAGCUCUCCUGGAUCCCUUUAGGCUCUGGAAGGGGCUCCUAGGGAAUCUCCUGGAUCCACUUUAGGCUCUGAGCUCUCCCUGGAGCCUUCUCCUCUCCAAGCUGAGCACCCCCAGCUCUCCAAGCUGGCUGCAGCCCUGGGAGCAUCCCCAUGGAGCAUCCAGCAGGAUCCUGCUGCAGUUCUGGCUGUUCCAGAACAUUCUGGAAUGGUUCUGGUUCAAGUAUUCCAGGUGAUUCUGGAAUGGUUCUGGUUCAAGUAUUCCAGAAGAUUCUGGAAUGGUUCUGAUUCAAGUAUUCCAGAAGAUUCUGGAAUGGUUCUGGCUGUUCCAGGUGAUUCUGGAAUGGUUCUGUUCUGGCUGUUCCAGAAGAUUCUGGAAUGGUUCUGUUCUGGCUGUUCCAGAAGAUUCUGGAAUGGUUCUGGCUGUUCCAGAAGAUUUCUGGAAUGGUUCUGGUUCUGGCUGUCCCAGAAGAUUCUGGAAUGGCUCUGGCUGCUCC